CACGUAGGGCGCAAGCGUUGUCCGGAAUUAUUGGGCGUAAAGAGCUCGUAGGCGGACUGUCACGUCUGCUGUGAAAAGCUGGGGCUUAACCCUGGCCUUGCAGUGGAUACGGGCAGACUAGAGGUAGGUAGGGGAGAAUGGAAUUCCCGGUGUAGCGGUGAAAUGCGCAGAUAUCGGGAGGAACACCGGUGGCGAAGGCGGUUCUCUGGGCCUUACCUGACGCUCAUGCACGAAAGCGUGGGGAGCAAACAGG
Molecule: ribosomal RNA, 253 nt
Filed under: uncultured bacterium
Lineage: Bacteria
Description: partial 16S ribosomal RNA
Rfam family: Bacterial small subunit ribosomal RNA
Source: RNAcentral